GACGAACGCUGGCGGCGUGCCUAACACAUGCAAGUCGAGCGGAGGUAGACAAGGAGUAAUCUGAGUUUACCUUAGCGGCGGACGGGUGAGUAACGCGUGAGCAACCUGCCUUUCACAGGGGGAUAAGGCGGCGAAAGCCGCUCUAAUACCGCAUGAGACCACGGUGAUGAUAUUACAGGGGUCAAAGGAGCAAUCCGGUGAAUGAUGGGAUCGCGUCCAAUUAGGUAGUUGGUGGGGUAACGGCCCACCAAGGCAACGAUGCAUAGCCGACCUGAGAGGGUGAUCGGCCACACUGGGACUGAGACACGGCACAGACUCCUACGGGAGGCAGCAGUAGGGAAUCUUCCACAAUGGACGAAAGUCUGAUGGAGCAACGCCGCGUGAACGAUGAAGGCUUUCGGGUCGUAAAGUUCUGUUGUAAGGGAAGAACAAGUGCCGCAGGCAAUGGCGGCACCUUGACGGUACCUUGCGAGAAAGCCACGGCUAACUACGUGCCAGCCGCCGCAGUAA
RNAcentral lists this ribosomal RNA (510 nucleotides) under uncultured bacterium. RNAcentral describes it as "partial 16S ribosomal RNA". It matches the Rfam family "Bacterial small subunit ribosomal RNA", at positions 28 to 523 of the family's 1533-position model. The record is from RNAcentral.